Long non-coding RNA from Spinacia oleracea (spinach), 559 nucleotides. RefSeq lists it as uncharacterized. NCBI's taxonomy places the organism in Eukaryota, Viridiplantae, Streptophyta, Magnoliopsida, Caryophyllales, Amaranthaceae. The record is from RefSeq and is a predicted model, not a curated record. The transcript has 3 exons.
UUUUUUUCCAAAUUUGCCCCUUCCUGUCAUUCAAUAUUACAUCCUACCUCUUUAUAUUUAUUAUACUCUAGAAACCUCUCUCAGUAAGGUUGUGCUCCAUCUCUCUCCUGCAUAACCUUUUCAUCUUAAAAACACAGCCAUCUAAGACAAACUCAAGAAAGAGGAAACUUAUGAAUCAAAUGGACUUAGACAGUCGAGAUGCAUUACUACAAACACAAUAGUGCGACUUUUUGUUCAAAGUGCAUAUGGCCUUACUAAUAAUGGAUGCUUGAAAGAAUGCUUGAAGUGAGACUCAACAAGAUUUUGUAAACAUUGCUCGACACACCACUUCAAUGUUAAGUAUAUAUAUUGCUCGAUCCACCAAGCUUUUAUGUACAAAUUUAGAUAACUUCUUUUGAAUAUGUAAUUAUUAGCUAAGAUAGAAGUCCCACUUUUGGAUACAAACAAAACUAAACUCUAUGUAAUUAGACAAUCAAAUACUUUUGUUGAACAUAACAAUAACGAAAUAUAUGUAAAUACCCUAAUAAUAUUUUGCAUACAAACAAAUUUCAGUAUCUUA